This 728-nucleotide ribosomal RNA is filed under the name Burkholderia sp. 1Sm10. RNAcentral describes it as "partial 16S ribosomal RNA". Lineage: Bacteria; Pseudomonadati; Pseudomonadota; Betaproteobacteria; Burkholderiales; Burkholderiaceae. The record is from RNAcentral.
CACUCCCCAGGCGGUCAACUUCACGCGUUAGUACGUUACUAAGGAAAUGAAUCCCCAACAACUAGUUGACAUCGUUUAGGGCGUGGACUACCAGGGUAUCUAAUCCUGUUUGCUCCCCACGCUUUCGUGCAUGAGCGUCAGUAUUGGCCCAGGGGGCUGCCUUCGCCAUCGGUAUUCCUCCACAUCUCUACGCAUUUCACUGCUACACGUGGAAUUCUACCCCCCUCUGCCAUACUCUAGCCCGCCAGUCACAAAUGCAGUUCCCAGGUUAAGCCCGGGGAUUUCACAUCUGUCUUAGCGAACCGCCUGCGCACGCUUUACGCCCAGUAAUUCCGAUUAACGCUUGCACCCUACGUAUUACCGCGGCUGCUGGCACGUAGUUAGCCGGUGCUUAUUCUUCCGGUACCGUCAUCCCUACAGGGUAUUAGCCCAUAAGAUUUCUUUCCGGACAAAAGUGCUUUACAACCCGAAGGCCUUCUUCACACACGCGGCAUUUCUGGAUCAGGGUUGCCCCCAUUGUCCAAAAUUCCCCACUGCUGCCUCCCGUAGRGUSUGGGCCGUGUCUCAGUCCCAGUGUGGCUGGUCGUCCUCUCAGACCAGCUACGGAUCGUCGCCUUGGUAGGCCUUUACCCCACCAACUAGCUAAUCCGCCAUCGGCCGCCCCUAAAGCGAGAGGUCUUGCGAUCCCCCCCUUUCCUCCGUAGAGCGUAUSGYGUAUUAAUCCGGCU